AUGAUUGAUCUCAAUGAACUACCGGUUGACGUAGAGCCUGUCAACAUUUCGGUUGAGUCGGGUGCCCCGUUCUUAAAUACAGCCUAUAAUCAGCAGGAUAUCCAUUUGGAAGAGGGGGUUGGUGAGUCCCCAGACCCCGACAUUGGCUCUAAUAAUUCUCAUGUUUCGACCACCCAUGUCGCUGCUCCCAACGCUGUAGUUGGUCCUGCUAAUGCUACAGUUGAUGAUGCACCUGACUUGGAAGAUGAAGAAGUAGGGUCGCAGCUGCAACUGCCCUAUGUUGGUAUGCGAUUUGACACGCUAGUGGGGGCAAGAGAACACUACAAUCACUAUGCUCUAGCGGUGGGUUUUUCAAUCAAAUCAAACACGUCCCACAAGUCGGCAUACACAGGUGUGCUGGACAGUUCAAUCGGUGCAUAG
RNAcentral lists this ribosomal RNA (420 nucleotides) under Triticum aestivum (bread wheat). RNAcentral describes it as "partial small subunit ribosomal RNA". The record is from RNAcentral. Lineage: Eukaryota; Viridiplantae; Streptophyta; Magnoliopsida; Poales; Poaceae.